RNAcentral lists this ribosomal RNA (405 nucleotides) under uncultured bacterium. RNAcentral's name for it is "partial 16S ribosomal RNA". It matches the Rfam family "Bacterial small subunit ribosomal RNA", at positions 30 to 525 of the family's 1533-position model. The record is from RNAcentral.
AUUGAACGCUGGCGGCAGGCCUAACACAUGCAAGUCGAACGAGUGGCGGACGGGUGAGUAAUGUCUGGGAAACUGCCCGAUGGAGGGGGAUAACUACUGGAAACGGUAGCUAAUACCGCAUACCAUCGGAUGUGCCCAGAUGGGAUUAGCUUGUAGGUGAGGUAACGGCUCACCUAGGCGACGAUCCCUAGCUGGUCUGAGAGGAUUACCAGCAACACGGGAACUGAGCAAGGGUCCAAAUCCUUACGGUAGGCAGCAGGGGGGAAUAUUGCAUAAUGGGCGGAAGUCUGAUGCACCCAGGCCGCGUGGAUGAAGAAGGCCUUCGGGUUUUAAAGUACUUUCAGAGGGGAGGCGUUACCCGCAGAAGAAGCACCGGCUAACUCCGUGCCAGCAGCCGCGGUAAUA